This is a long non-coding RNA of Sarcophilus harrisii (Tasmanian devil), 5165 nucleotides long. Lineage: Eukaryota; Metazoa; Chordata; Mammalia; Dasyuromorphia; Dasyuridae. The record is from Ensembl.
GAGAGGAGUGAGAAGGAGAAGCGAGAGAGGUACAUUGCAGCAGCGUUUGCCAUCUCGGCACGCUCCGCCAGGAGACUGAGAAAGCAAAAGGAGAACCGGCAGCUCCGCCCGGGGAGCCCGGGGUCCGGCGUAAAGGGGCGAGGAGGAGGAGGGCGUAGGAGGUGCCUAGCUGGGGUUGGGGUACCGCGGCGGGGGCAGCGCGCGCAGCAGCAGCAGCAGCAGCAGCAGCGUUAUUCCGGGUUCCUCCUUCUGGGGAAGAGAUCAUCUAUUAUCACCAUUCUCUCCCAGAGCCCCAGGGAGGGGACUGCGGAAGGGAGGAGACUAGGAAGGGGGGUGGGGGGAAUCGGGAGCGAGGGGGCAGUGCUGAGAACCUAGGAGAAACACCAGAGGGGAAGCAGCAGCCACAGCAGCAGCUAACCAGGGAGAAAGGGAAGAAAGGAGAUCAGACAAAGGAGAAUACCCGCUAUAAAACUGGGAAAAAAACUAUAAAACUAUGUUCUGUUGCACAAUGGGCCAGAAAGGAGAGAAACCUUAGUUGGAAGAAGCAAGGGGAGAAAUCUCUAGGACCAAUGGAAGAAUAGAAAGAAGGUGUGAGGAGCCACCUGGGACUGACAAGUGUUGCCUAGGGGUUAUAUCAGCAAAAGUUCCUGAUCAGCAAAAGUGGCAACUCCACUGACAACUGGUAGGAAAAAGGAUAACAGUUGUAUCCCUCGUGAACAAGACAAUUCUUUUAUAUUUUCCUGGUGGUCCAGAAAUAAGAUUCUUUGGAAAAAGAAGCUAAAACAGAAAACACAUCUUAACUUUCUUUAUACAAUUGCCUGCAUGAGAAGCCUGAGUUCUAGGAAAGAAAAAAAGCCAAUCAUCUUGUCAGGACAAAUUGUAUAUUUAUUGGGCUGAGAAUAGUUCUUUGUGGAGUAUCUGGAGCUGUGAUUUGAAAACUUCACUGAUACUUUAUUUGCACUUUGGAUCGUAAGCAUGAGUGAGUUCUGGUUGUGUUUCAAUUGCUGUAUUGCAGAGCAACCUCAGCCUAAAAGGAGACGGAGGAUUGACCGAAGCAUGAUAGGCGAGCCAACAAACUUUGUUCACACAGCUCAUGUAGGAUCAGGUGACCUGUUCAGUGGAAUGAAUUCAGUUAGCUCCAUACAGAACCAAAUGCAAUCCAAAGGAGGUUAUGGAGGUGGAAUGUCUUCAAAUGUCCAAAUGCAGCUUGUAGAUACAAAGGCAGGAUAACCUUGGGAGCAUUUUCAGUUCAUGUGAAUUUCCAUAGUUCUUCUUUCUACUGUUUUGUUUUUGUUUAUUUGGAGUUUUUUGGUUUUUGGAAUUGUUUUGGUUUGGGACUUGGGGGGGAGGGGGCCCUUGAGACUACUUUCAUGCUUAUUUUAAGAAAGAAAUGUGAUAUGGGACCUUGUUCAACCUCUUGUGAUUACUUCAGUGAAAAGUUACUGUUAUGCUCCAAAGAAGCUGUUUGUAAAAGUGGAUCUUGUCAUGCCUUCCACUGGCAUGCAUGUUGUUGGCUUCUACCAAAAUAAUCGAUAAAUAGUAGACUGGGUUGUGAUUUUAUAUUUUAGAUAUUUUUUCAAGUUUGAAUAAAUAGGCAACUGAUUUUAGCAUGACAUUUUCCUCUAAUCACUACUAUACAGCAUAAGUUUGCCAAUUUUUUUACUUAAAAAAAGAAGCUUUUCUGUCCCUUCUACUCUUCUUGUUGUAAUUUUAGGUCCCAAGCAUGACAUGUUAUAAUUUUUUAUUUAUAUAUUUGGGGAAAGUCUAGGACCCACAAGCACAAUGAUCAUUUUCCCAUUUGUUUAAAGCCUGGCAAAGUAAAUGCCUGUGCUUUAUAAAGUUGCCUCUUUGGUGCCAGAAAUAAAAUUGCUCAUUUGCUGCAGCUUUUGUUGCUGCUAGUGGAGAAAAUUUAAGUAUGGCGCUAUAGUCAUAUCAGUAUCACCGAAAAGGAUAAUUUAGCUGCUUUAAAAUGAUGUCCCUUUUAGUUCUAUUUGAUCUUGAAAUAAAACAAAAGCUUGCAUUCAUAAGACAUUCUGUUGUAAAUGUUAGUAUAUUUAUUUUAAGAGAACUGACCUCAAGAUUGUAAACUAGUGUAGUAACAUAUGUAAAUAACAUAUGAUAGUACUUUCCUCCAGUCAGUUUUCAAGUGGUGUUGCACUAGCUACACAUUUCUUUUUACCUUCCCUUCCUUUUUUGCUUUUUAUGUUGACUUUUAGACUGUCCAUCAGCAGAAUGUUGAACUGCCUAUCUGUGUUAUUAAUAGCAGUUCAAUGAACCUCUCAACGUAGUUGGUAAGUUUUUUUUUUUUUUUCCUAAGUGUUUCCAGGCCAUGUUAAGUUGCUAAUAGCAACAUAUUGACCUGGCAGAAUAGAAACUAUGGAAAACAACUUACAGGGUGACUUUUUACUGUUGGUAAGAAGCCUUUUGCUCAGGUUCCAAAGCAUAUUCAUCUUUCACAAAUUGUAAAAAGUAAAUUUGAAUAUUGCACUAUCUUCAAAUUCUAGAAAUGGUUCCUCCUUCUUCCAUUAUCCCCAUUCCAUACUUUCAUAGUUAUCUGAAAACAAAGUCAUUAAUUUCAUUCUCUCUUGAUUUUUUAAAAUUAUUCAUACAAUUCACCUCCAUGUUUGUCUGAUACGGUUAUCUAACAAUAGGGCAAAAUUGAGCUAAACCAGAGUGCCACCAAUAAGUUGGAAAUUAAAUGAAUGCAAAGAAGUAAAUUUUUAUACGGUAUUCAUAUUUCCAUCUAAACCUCACUUCCUUCUGAAACAACUAAUUAAAUAAGUGCUAGAUAUGUGAUGGCACUAGAUAGUAUCUUCUCCCUGGUAAUUUACAAGUUAAUUCACUGGAAAUGAAGUAGCCAUCUGAUUACACUUACAUAGUUAUACCUGCAGAGUGGUCAAAUGUAGUAGAUUUAAGUAAAAGAAACAGAUUGUUGAUUCUUUGGAUUCAUGAUUUCAAAUGGUGUCCAAGAUCCUUUCUAUUAAUAUAAUUUGCUCCUUGGAAUUUGACGUAAGAAAAUCAUUGUCAGUAAUGCGUUUUUGGAAAUGGAAUCUUGUAUUUGAUUUGAUGAUCCAACUGUGUAUCUAUGACUACCACACUGACCCCAGCAUUUUUUCCAUAGCACUAUUUGAUAUAUUCGGCUCUGCAGUGCAUUAUCAUUUCACACUUUAUCAGAAUAUGCGCACUUUAAGACUGGUGCUUUUUGCAACAGAGAAUAGCUACAUUCCAACUACUCUGCUUCUACUGUUUCUCUUAGAAGUACCAUUGAAAUUCUUCAGAUUCAUACAAAGUAUAAUGUGUAGAGUGCAGUACUGUCUGGGCAAAAGGCUUUGGACCAUAGGAAGUGCUGUCACUUCUGCAGGAUGAGCAGCACUAUCAGCAGAUCUUGACUGUGUAUUGCUCCUGAGGGUUGAAUUAGAACAGCAGGAGAAGCCAGGUCUCUAUAGUCAUUGUCUCUUCAAAAUCAUAGGUUUUCUUCCCUUGAUUGAUGUUAAGAUAGGUAUUUGGGUCAGUCAUCCCUCCCAUUCCUGUCGUAGUUCAGUCACAUCUGACUCAUCAUGACUCCAAAUGAGGUUUUCUUGGCAAAGAUACUGGAGUGGUUUUGCCAUUUCCUUCUCCAGCUCAUUUUAUAGAUGAGGAACCUGAAGCAAACAGGGUUAAGUGACUUGCCCAGGGUCACACAUCUAGUAAAUGUCUGAGGCUGAAUUUGAACUCCAGCCCUCUCGCUCUCUCCACUGUGCCACCUGGCCACUCAUAGAGCCAUUCCUGAUCCAAAGGAAUAAAUGUUCCAGAAGACAUAAUGUGAGCUUCCAUUUCUAAGCAAGAACUGAAUUUCUCAUUCCUUAGCUUUCCAAACUGCUAUAUGGCCUCUCUAAUGAUACUAUUAAAAUAACUCUGUAUGGUUGUGCCAGGGAGACUAUUAUAAUUAAAUCAUGGAUCAGAAAACUCACUAAAAAUAUUGAACCAUAUUUUCUAGAGUUUUUCAAUACAUAAAAAGAAAAAUUGAGACUGGCUUUAAUGAUUGAUUAAUUAAAAGUUUAGAUGCAUUUUAAAAAUUGAUUAAAUUAUGUCUAUGGCCAAACAUUUCUCUUGUGGUAAAGCAUCUCCUUUUGAAAUAUAAGCUAAUAAAAAAAUAGAGUCCAUUUACAUCAAAUUUAGUUUUUAGUCAACUUUAAUAAAAUGCAUAAUUUUAAAAUUUGGAACUAACAGUUAAAGAUUAACUCACAUAGUAUUACAAGAAUAAUUCAGCUUAAAAUGGUGCCAAUAUAUGAAAACCAGAAUUAUUAUGGUUCAGUGAUUGAGAGUGUGUUAGGAAGAAGGGAGUUCAGAAAGAGAAGAUAGUUAUUUCCAACGCAAUUUUUGCCAUUGGGUCUUUCAAAACAAGUUUUGUGAUUAUAAUAUUUUUUCCUUUUGCCACCAAUUAUCAACUAAAAUAGAUUCAAAACUUACUCUCAUCAGAUGUCCUCUGAUUUAGUGUCCAGAAAAAAAAAUUGGGAUAUUUUUAUAACAUACUUUAUAGCAUACAUUUUUUUGUAAACUAUGUUCAUUUUUGAAUAAUGUCAUUCCCGUGUUGGCUUGUAGAUAUUAAAGUGAAAGUAAUGACGAUUCAAUAAAUGUUUUCUUUUGGUUUCUGGUUUACUUUUUUCAUUCUUUUCAUGCACCUGUGUUCACAUAUAUAACUUUUUUUAAAAUGGGUUUCUUAUCCUUUCAUUUUACAGCCACUGCCAUUAAAAACUUGCUUAACCAAUUUUUAAAUAAUAUAUCCUUUUUUCUGUGUUUCCCCCCAAAAAAGAAACCAAAACUUGAUGGUAAAUUCUCAUUAGAAAUGGAUUAUUUAUUUUAUAAUUAAGAAGUAAUUAUGGCAUGAUGGAUUUGAUUUUAAAAAUGCGAAAACCUGGAUACAAGUCCUAUUCCUAACCUAUACUUGUUAUGAGAACGCUGAGCAAGUCACUUAACUUCUCAGCACUUAAGACAAUUCUUAUACCCCUAAGUCAACAGAGAUGAUGCUGAUCUACACUGAUAGGUGGAGUCUCCUCCUCCUAGAAUUUGCUAUACCAAUGAAAUCUUAAAUCUAGCACCUAUCUCUAGCACUUGGCUUAAGCAAAUGCUUGCCCCAUACUUCAUAUUUCUAUCUGAGUAGCAGAAAAGGGUAUAGUGACUUGACA